Molecule: ribosomal RNA, 449 nt
Filed under: uncultured bacterium
Lineage: Bacteria
Description: partial 16S ribosomal RNA
Rfam family: Bacterial small subunit ribosomal RNA
Source: RNAcentral
AACGAACGCUGGCGGUAUGCCUAACACAUGCAAGUCGAACGAGACCUUCGGGUCUAGUGGCGCACGGGUGCGUAACGCGUGGGAAUCUACCCUUGGGUUCGGAAUAACAGUUAGAAAUGACUGCUAAUACCGGAUGGUGACGUAAGUCCAAAGAUUUAUCGCCCAAGGAUGAGCCCGCGUAAGAUUAGCUUGUUGGUGGGGUAAUGGCCUACCAAGGCGACGAUCUUUAGCUGGUCUGAGAGGAUGAUCAGCCACACUGGGACUGAGACACGGCCCAGACUCCUACGGGAGGCAGCAGUGGGGAAUAUUGGACAAUGGGCGAAAGCCUGAUCCAGCAAUGCCGCGUGAGUGUUGAAGGCCUUAGGGUUGUAAAGCUCUUUUACCAGGGAUGAUAAUGACAGUACCUGGAGAAUAAGCUCCGGCUAACCCCGUGCCAGCAGCCGCCGUAA